AACGAACGCUGGCGGCAGGCCUAACACAUGCAAGUCGAACGCCCUAGCAAUAGGGAGUGGCAGACGGGUGAGUAACACGUGGAACGUGCCCUUCGGUUCGGAAUAACUCAGGGAAACUUGAGCUAAUACCGGAUACGUGCGAGAGCAGAAAGAUUUAUCGCCGAAGGAUCGGCCCGCGUCCGAUUAGCUAGUUGGUGAGGUAAUGGCUCACCAAGGCGACGAUCGGUAGCUGGUCUGAGAGGAUGACCAGCCACACUGGGACUGAGACACGGCCCAGACUCCUACGGGAGGCAGCAGUGGGGAAUAUUGGACAAUGGGCGCAAGCCUGAUCCAGCCAUGCCGCGUGAGUGAUGAAGGCCCUAGGGUUGUAAAGCUCUUUCGCCAGGGACGAUAGUGACGGUACCUGGAUAAGAAGCCCCGGCUAACUUCGUGCCAGCAGCCGCCGCCG
This 448-nucleotide ribosomal RNA is filed under the name uncultured bacterium. Its description in RNAcentral is "partial 16S ribosomal RNA". It matches the Rfam family "Bacterial small subunit ribosomal RNA", at positions 29 to 523 of the family's 1533-position model. The record is from RNAcentral.